AUGAAGAUAUCACUGAUUCUACUGCUGCUCACCCUGGGGCUCCUUGUUCAGGGUUCAUCAGGAGACAUCAUCCUGACUCAGUCUCCUGGAUCUCAGUCUGUUGUUCCAGGACAGACUGUCUCUAUCAGAUGUAAAGCCAGUUCAUCUAUCAGUACCUCCAUUCACUGGUAUCUUAAAAAACCUGCAGAAUCUCCCAAACUCUUGAUUCGUUAUGCUACAACCCUUCAGUCUGGAGUUGCAGGUCGAUUCAGUGGAAGUGGAUCUGGAACUGACUUCACUCUGACCAUCAGUGGAAUUCAGACUGAAGAUACAGGAGAUUACUAUUGUCAGCAGUCUAACAGCUUCCCGUUCACACAGUGA
Non-coding RNA from Centropristis striata (black sea bass), 360 nucleotides. Lineage: Eukaryota; Metazoa; Chordata; Actinopteri; Perciformes; Serranidae. The record is from the annotation of a RefSeq genome assembly.